GCAAAAGUUAUUGUUAUAUGUUGCACUGGCCAAAAUGGAGAAUUCCUGGCCAGUGCACAUAUAACAGUAAUUUUAGCU
RNAcentral lists this microRNA precursor (78 nucleotides) under Nicotiana sylvestris (wood tobacco). Its description in RNAcentral is "MIR6145 microRNA precursor family". It matches the Rfam family "MIR6145 microRNA precursor family". The record is from Rfam by way of RNAcentral. Lineage: Eukaryota; Viridiplantae; Streptophyta; Magnoliopsida; Solanales; Solanaceae. RNAcentral also lists the same sequence under 1 other name.